AAUAGUUAUCCUUGCCUCAUACACUAAUUGAAAGCACAGGGAUCUCUCAGAGGGUACUUUCUGUUUCUGCACCAGAGCUCCUCCAAAAACCGUCACAACGGCAGCAAAUUAAACCAGGGGAGUUUGAGAAGCCGGGGCAUCGUGAACAGGGCCAAGACUGUCCCAAGCUGACUUCAUGUGGUGAGGUUUCUACCUUGCUAAAGAACGUUUCUGCUGAGCUUUCUAUUCUUCAUUCACUCCAAUUAAACUGCAGUGAUUCACCAGUUAUUACCACCACAGCCAUACACGUGUUGAAGAGAAGAUCAUGAUUAUAAUCUGCACAAUUACCGACGGCUAGAUAGCAUGCCUACACACGGUGUUUUGAAAAACAGCUUCAUUUCCGAUGGAGAUCAGGACAGCAAUAAAAGAGUUCCACAGUCUCUUCACUAAAUACAUCUUUGUUUGCAUGGUCUGUGUAUACUGUCAUGGGGCAGGUGCGGGAAAAUGUAAAAUAUAAAUAUUUAAAAUCCAA
Panthera uncia (snow leopard) is the source of this 511-nucleotide long non-coding RNA. RefSeq lists it as uncharacterized. NCBI's taxonomy places the organism in Eukaryota, Metazoa, Chordata, Mammalia, Carnivora, Felidae. The record is from RefSeq and is a predicted model, not a curated record. The transcript has 2 exons.